CCCUUAGAUGUUCUGGGCCGCACGCGCGCUACACUGACGAAGUCAGCGAGCAUGUCCUACGCCGACAGGUGCGGGGAAUCUUGUCAAACUUCGUCGUGAUGGGGAUUGAUUAUUGAAAUUCUUGAUCAUCAACGAGGAAUUCCUAGUAAGCGCAAGUCAGCAGCUUGCGUUGAUUACGUCCCUGCCCUUUGUACACACCGCCCGUCGCUACUACCGAUUGAAUGGUUUAGUGAGAUCUUUGGAUUGGCGCCACUGCGGCUCAGCAAUGGGCUCGGUGGAUGCCGAAAAGUUGAUCAAACUUGAUCAUUUAGAGGAAGUAAAAGUCGUAACA
Molecule: ribosomal RNA, 331 nt
Filed under: uncultured eukaryote
Lineage: Eukaryota
Description: partial 18S ribosomal RNA
Rfam family: Eukaryotic small subunit ribosomal RNA
Source: RNAcentral